Phrynosoma platyrhinos (Desert horned lizard) is the source of this 73-nucleotide non-coding RNA. The record is from the annotation of a GenBank genome assembly. Lineage: Eukaryota; Metazoa; Chordata; Lepidosauria; Squamata; Phrynosomatidae.
GCCCUGGUGGCAUAGUGGUUAAAUGCCGGUACUCACAGCAACUAGGUUGUGAGUUCAAUUCCAGCCAAGGGCU